UUCUGAGCAGAGGGACAUGGAGAGAGGAGCAUGAAGACGAUAGGAACUGAGGACAAGUAGCCUUGAGUCAUGUUCUUUCCGAGCGUUCCCAUUAGUCCUCAUGGGCAUGCUUAUGGGCUAAUACAGCCCUCAAAAUCACCUUCUGGCAUUGAAAAUUCUGCCUUGGGGCUUCUAAAGCACUGGUGUGACCAGAGAGUGUACCUCCAAACUCAGGGAUUUUUGCCAGUUUUGAUAAAUAAAGAAGUUCCAGUUUGAUUUGAUGAAAUUGGUUCUUGGAUCCAAGUUGGAAUGCAAGUUGGGAGCCAGUUGUGGAAUUUUCCAUCAUAACAUUUCCUGUGGAUACAAAGUGAACUGAAACCCAACCCAGGAAACAAGCAUAAAAUGUGCCAACGAGUUUAGAUUCACUAAAUUUUAUCUGCCACUCCUGAGGAAGGUCUAUUUAUCUGUCAUGUUGUUAUUUGGACAAUCAAAGUUAUUGCAGUAAAUUUUGAGACCUCUGUGAUGCAACAUAACUGGGGACUGAGAGAUACUUCACAAUGUGAGAAGCACAUGGACUAGAUGACAAAUGCUUUGGAGAAAAAUUCUCAUGAAUCCAGAUCAUGCCAAUUUCCAGUGGACCUGUGUCUUCAAAACCCAAAUCAUUCUACUUGCUAGUAAUCAACUAGAAAGACCUUGUGGUUUUCUUGUUGAGUUUGCUCUUCCUGCAAUGCCUGCUCAAUACUACUCCCAGUGAAAUUUAAAAUAUAUAUAUAUUUUCAUCUAUGAGAAGUUAUCAAAUGUCUUCCCCCACAUGCUGAUAGUUCUUGCCUGAAUCCUUGUAUGGCAAUGUACACUCUGUCAUGUGACCUUUGUGCCCACUGACACGAUAAUCAUUAAAAACAAUUGGAUUGUACUCCCUGCGAAGUUUGAGGCUGGGGACAGAAGCUUGUCAAGUAUAAAAACAUCUGUGAAUACGAUAACAUCUAUAGCUUAAAAAUACUCAUUCCUCAACGAACUUGAAGUAAAUGACUAAAGUAAGUGAAACUGAGUCUAUUUGACAAGUCUUCUGAUAUGAUUAAAAUAUUGUGUGAAGAAAGGACUUGAUGGAAAAAUGUGAUGUCAAAGCCUGUUUUUCAAAGUUUAAGUUUCAUUCAACGCCAAAUGAGCAUGUGAAAAUCCCCUGGAGAAUACCCACUCUGAGGUCCAUUCUAACCUGAAACUGUUUUUUAAUUGGUACUUCUACCAAAUCUAAGUUUAACAAUAGGGCAUGCAUUGACUUUUCAGUAUGAUGCCCAGUCCAUUUUAUUCUGUGGUAUAAAUAGUUUACCAUACUCUAGGAAAUAUAUUUUGAAUUUAACAAAGCUUUAUGGAGUGUCCAGUUCAUUCUGGCUACAACAGGACAAAAUCCAACUGGGGAUAUUGCUCCUGGCAGGUUCUCUGCUGUCUUGCCUGAUCUUGCUUUGUGAACCUUCCCCUAUAGGUCCUUAUAUUAAUGGGCCUCACUUUCCUUUAGAGAUAGGAGUUUACACUAACAGUUAAUUAAUGUAACAGUGUUAAGUGUUUCUAUGUGCAAAGCAUUAAGCUAGGUGUUGUCAUUUUUCCUCUCCUUACUCUUUCACAAAAAUAAUAAGAGCAAUUUGGAGGAUGUUAUCAGUUCAGCCUGCUAUAACUAUACCUUAGACUGGGUAAUUUAUAAACAACAGUUAUUUGUUGCUGAACUUUCUAC
This 1705-nucleotide long non-coding RNA is filed under the name Homo sapiens (human). RNAcentral's name for it is "HSALNT0127568". Lineage: Eukaryota; Metazoa; Chordata; Mammalia; Primates; Hominidae. The record is from RNAcentral.